This is a non-coding RNA of Malus domestica (apple), 1627 nucleotides long. The record is from RefSeq and is a predicted model, not a curated record. Lineage: Eukaryota; Viridiplantae; Streptophyta; Magnoliopsida; Rosales; Rosaceae.
CCAUUUAAUUACAGUUAUGAGACGUGCAAAGAGUUGAAAACUCUAUUUGAAACAGUUGUUGUAGUAGUCCCACUCCAACUUCCCCAAACCAACUUUCCCAUCCUUGCGCUCCAACUUCUUCCCGUUCCUCCUCCACUCUCUCUCUCUAUGGGUCUUACUCCUCCAUACAAAAACCGAAUCGUUGCCUAAAGUAAUGGAGUCCAUCCCAUCGUCGCCAAAUCCCAUCAUCUUCUCGAACCAGUAGUUAUGUUGGAGAGACAUCGACGUUGCUGCGAAGAGAGAGGAAGAAGAUGAAGAUAGUGACGUACAACGUGAACAGGCUCAAAUUGCCAAAUUUAUAAGAUCGGCUUACAGGAAACCAAACUGCAACGGCGGGAAUUGACCGCCGCCCUGGUCAUGGCAGAGGGCUACGAGUCAUUCUCCUGCAACCGCACCUCCGAAAGAGGUUGCACCGGGUACUCUAGUCGACGUUAUAGGGUGACGAAGUGGCGUUGCCGGUGGCGGCGGAGGAAGCAUUCACUGGAGUUCUUGACAGUGGGAAAGGACAAAUGAAUGCAGUUGCGGAAGGGCUUAAGGAGUUUUCGAGAGAUAACCUACUGAAGUUGAUGGCAACGGGCGGUGUGUUGUAACGGAUCAUGGGCAUUUUGGUACGUUUGCCUUAGAUUCACGCUUAAAAUUCAAUUCUCUGUGAUUUCAUUUUUUGGAGAAAGUUUAAAGAUUUGUAUUUACAGUGGUUGUGUAGUUCUCUUUUCAAUUUAAAUGACCCUCGAGCAAGGAAAAAUGAAACGGAAGGGAUACAGUUUAAGUUCAAGUUUUUCAAUUUGUAGUUCUCUUUUAUAUCAUUCAGAACGUUGGGCAGAGGAAAUCCUCAAUCUGCAAAACAAGUUAUUGCAGGUUUGGAGUUACACUUUAUGUUUAUUGUAAUUAGUUGAAUGCAAGUGUAUUCUGGGACAUGCGUACUUUCUGUGCAAACUGAGUUAGAGAGGGAGCGUAUGGCUUUGGAGUUGGAGGAAAAAAAAGCCCAAGCUGAAAGAGAGAAGAUGGUGCAACAGCAAGCUAAGAAAAUUGAGAACCUCAGCUUAAUGGUGUUGUAUUCAAAUAGAGAUAGAAUCGCGAUUGCUUUAAAAAGGUUUGCAUGACUAAUUAAUUUUCAUUUCAAACUUCGGUAUAAUAGUUGAUGUUCAUAUUUAUGUUCGAUUCCUAAUUUUGUUGUUCUGAAAAUGAAAAAUACCUACUUAAAAGUGUAAAAUUCUAUUAUCUAUAAACACAAAAGAUGUGCUUGAUAUUAUAAUGUGCCGUUUCCAAUGAGAUAAGAUUUAGUUAAACACUCUCUGUUGAAUCGAUAAUUUUAGCACGUUACAGGUUAGAAGACGUGGUCGACAGCCACCAAUGCCAACUCAAGAACUCAAGACAAGCUUCCAAUUUUGCCUUCACACGCUUCCUCUCUUUUAUUUGGAGCAAUUGGAGAUGGCAACCCAAAAUAAUAACUAGCCAAGGUAUAAUUCAGUUUUCCAUUUUAUUAUUUGUCAUUUGCAGAGAGAUAAAUAGAGCAGUUAUGUACUAUGAGUAUCCGAUUUCUUUGUUUACAUUGCGGGUAGUCAAAUGGUUGAAACAGUUUGUUGUUAAA